This 575-nucleotide ribosomal RNA is filed under the name uncultured bacterium. RNAcentral describes it as "partial 16S ribosomal RNA". It matches the Rfam family "Bacterial small subunit ribosomal RNA", at positions 355 to 922 of the family's 1533-position model. The record is from RNAcentral.
UGGGGAAUUUUGGACAAUGGGCGAAAGCCUGAUCCAGCAAUGCCGCGUGUGUGAAGAAGGCCUUCGGGUUGUAAAGCACUUUUGUCCGGAAAGAAAUCCUUGGCUCUAAUACAGUCGGGGGAUGACGGUACCGGAAGAAUAAGCACCGGCUAACUACGUGCCAGCAGCCGCGGUAAUACGUAGGGUGCAAGCGUUAAUCGGAAUUACUGGGCGUAAAGCGUGCGCAGGCGGUUUGCUAAGACCGAUGUGAAAUCCCCGGGCUCAACCUGGGAACUGCAUUGGUGACUGGCAGGCUAGAGUAUGGCAGAGGGGGGUAGAAUUCCACGUGUAGCAGUGAAAUGCGUAGAGAUGUGGAGGAAUACCGAUGGCGAAGGCAGCCCCCUGGGCCAAUACUGACGCUCAUGCACGAAAGCGUGGGGAGCAAAACAGGAUUAGAUACCCUGGUAAUCCACGCCCUAAACGAUGUCAACUAGUUGUUGGGGAUUCAUUUCCUUAGUAACGUAGCUAACGCGUGAAGUUGACCGCCUGGGGAGUACGGUCGCAAGAUUAAAACUCAAAUGAAUUGACGGGGUCAU